GACGAACGCUGGCGGCGUGCUUAACACAUGCAAGUCGAACGGAAAGGCCCUGCUUUUGUGGGGUGCUCGAGUGGCGAACGGGUGAGUAACACGUGAGUAACCUGCCCUUGACUUUGGGAUAACUUCAGGAAACUGGGGCUAAUACCGGAUAGGAGCUCCUGCUGCAUGGUGGGGGUUGGAAAGUUUCGGCGGUUGGGGAUGGACUCGCGGCUUAUCAGCUUGUUGGUGGGGUAGUGGCUUACCAAGGCUUUGACGGGUAGCCGGCCUGAGAGGGUGACCGGCCACAUUGGGACUGAGAUGCGGCCCAGACUCCUACGGGAGGCAGCAGUGGGGAAUAUUGCACAAGGGGCGGAAGCCUGAUGCAGCAACGCCGCGUGCGGGAUGACGGCCUUCGGGUUGUAAACCGCUUUCGCCUGUGACGAAGCGUGAGUAACGGUAAUGGGUAAAGAAGCACCGGCUAACUACGU
Molecule: ribosomal RNA, 467 nt
Filed under: uncultured bacterium
Lineage: Bacteria
Description: partial 16S ribosomal RNA
Rfam family: Bacterial small subunit ribosomal RNA
Source: RNAcentral